AUUGAACGCUGGCGGCAGGCUUAACACAUGCAAGUCGAACGGUAACAUAAAGAAGCUUGCUUCUUUGAUGACGAGUGGCGGACGGGUGAGUAAUGCUUGGGAAUCUAGCUUAUGGAGGGGGAUAACUACGGGAAACUGUAGUAAUACGCGUAGAAUCGAGAGAUGAAAGUGUGGGACCUUCGGGCCACAUGCCAUAGGAUGAGCCCAAGUGGGAUUAGGUAGUUGGUGAGGUAAAGGCUCACCAAGCCGACGAUCUCUAGCUGGUCUGAGAGGAUGACCAGCCACACUGGGACUGAGACACGGCCCAGACUCCUACGGGAGGCAGCAGUGGGGAAUAUUGCGCAAUGGGGGCAACCCUGACGCAGCCAUGCCGCGUGAAUGAAGAAGGCCUUCGGGUUGUAAAGUUCUUUCCGGUAGCGAGGAAGGCAUUUAGUUUAAUAAACUAGGUGAUUGAUUAACUACAGAAGAAG
Molecule: ribosomal RNA, 470 nt
Filed under: Terrahaemophilus aromaticivorans
Lineage: Bacteria; Pseudomonadati; Pseudomonadota; Gammaproteobacteria; Pasteurellales; Pasteurellaceae
Description: bacterial SSU rRNA
Rfam family: Bacterial small subunit ribosomal RNA
Source: RNAcentral